RNAcentral lists this ribosomal RNA (237 nucleotides) under uncultured bacterium. Its description in RNAcentral is "partial 16S ribosomal RNA". It matches the Rfam family "Bacterial small subunit ribosomal RNA", at positions 28 to 258 of the family's 1533-position model. The record is from RNAcentral.
GACGAACGCUGGCGGCGUGCUUAACACAUGCAAGUCGAGCGGUAAGGCCUGGCUUCGGUUGGGUACACGAGCGGCGAACGGGUGAGUAACACGUGGGUGACCUGCCUUCAGCUCUGGGAUAAGCCUGGGAAACUGGGUCUAAUACCGGAUAUGACCUUUGCCUGCAUGGGGUGGGGUGGAAAGAUUUGUUUUGGUCGUGGGGAGUGGCCGUGCGGUCUAUCAGCUUGUUGGUGGGGU